This 922-nucleotide ribosomal RNA is filed under the name Lactiplantibacillus pentosus. Its description in RNAcentral is "bacterial SSU rRNA". It matches the Rfam family "Bacterial small subunit ribosomal RNA", at positions 518 to 1440 of the family's 1533-position model. Lineage: Bacteria; Bacillati; Bacillota; Bacilli; Lactobacillales; Lactobacillaceae. The record is from RNAcentral.
CGGUAAUACGUAGGUGGCAAGCGUUGUCCGGAUUUAUUGGGCGUAAAGCGAGCGCAGGCGGUUUUUUAAGUCUGAUGUGAAAGCGUUCGGCUCAACCGAAGAAGUGCAUCGGAAACUGGGAAACUUGAGUGCAGAAGAGGACAGUGGAACUCCAUGUGUAGCGGUGAAAUGCGUAGAUAUAUGGAAGAACACCAGUGGCGAAGGCGGCUGUCUGGUCUGUAACUGACGCUGAGGCUCGAAAGUAUGGGUAGCAAACAGGAUUAGAUACCCUGGUAGUCCAUACCGUAAACGAUGAAUGCUAAGUGUUGGAGGGUUUCCGCCCUUCAGUGCUGCAGCUAACGCAUUAAGCAUUCCGCCUGGGGAGUACGGCCGCAAGGCUGAAACUCAAAGGAAUUGACGGGGGCCCGCACAAGCGGUGGAGCAUGUGGUUUAAUUCGAAGCUACGCGAAGAACCUUACCAGGUCUUGACAUACUAUGCAAAUCUAAGAGAUUAGACGUUCCCUUCGGGGACAUGGAUACAGGUGGUGCAUGGUUGUCGUCAGCUCGUGUCGUGAGAUGUUGGGUUAAGUCCCGCAACGAGCGCAACCCUUAUUAUCAGUUGCCAGCAUUAAGUUGGGCACUCUGGUGAGACUGCCGGUGACAAACCGGAGGAAGGUGGGGAUGACGUCAAAUCAUCAUGCCCCUUAUGACCUGGGCUACACACGUGCUACAAUGGAUGGUACAACGAGUUGCGAACUCGCGAGAGUAAGCUAAUCUCUUAAAGCCAUUCUCAGUUCGGAUUGUAGGCUGCAACUCGCCUACAUGAAGUCGGAAUCGCUAGUAAUCGCGGAUCAGCAUGCCGCGGUGAAUACGUUCCCGGGCCUUGUACACACCGCCCGUCACACCAUGAGAGUUUGUAACACCCAAAGUCGGUGGGGUAACC